RNAcentral lists this ribosomal RNA (882 nucleotides) under uncultured Sebacinales. RNAcentral's name for it is "eukaryotic LSU rRNA". The stretch from base 210 to 882 matches the Rfam family "Eukaryotic large subunit ribosomal RNA", at positions 1 to 659 of the family's 3401-position model. The record is from RNAcentral. Lineage: Eukaryota; Fungi; Basidiomycota; Agaricomycetes; Sebacinales.
GUAUCUCACCUCUACAGCUUUGUUGUUGUGGAGAGUGGACUUGGGCCUUGUUGUGUAACAACGACUGGCUUGAAAUGGAUGAGUGUACCCUGCUGCUGCAGCGUCUUCAGUGUGAUAAGCAUCUUCACUGAUCAAAGUUCCUUUGGGACACGAAUGCAAAGUGGGCUCUGCGCUUCCAACCGUCUGUUAACAGACAAUACUUGACAAUUUGGCCUCAAAUCGGGUGGGACUACCCGCUGAACUUAAGCAUAUCAAUAAGCGGAGGAAAAGAAACUAACAAGGAUUCCCCUAGUAACGGCGAGUGAAGAGGGAAAAGCUCAAAUUUUGAAUCUGUCGUCUUUGGCGACCGAGUUGUAAUCUAGAGAAGUGUUUUCUGCCUUGGACCACACAUAAAUUCCCUGGAAUGGGGUGUCAAAGAGGGUGAGAAUCCCGUUUGUGGUGUGGACUCCCUCGGCUCUGUGAUACACUCUCAACGAGUCGAGUUGUUUGGGAAUGCAGCUCAAAAUGGGUGGUAAAUUCCAUCUAAAGCUAAAUACUGGCGAGAGACCGAUAGCGAACAAGUACCGUGAGGGAAAGAUGAAAAGCACUUUGGAAAGAGAGUGAAACAGUACGUGAAAUUGUUGAAAGGGAAGCGUUUGAAGUCAGUCACGUCGGUUGGGACUCAGCCUUGCUUCUGCUUGGUGUACUUCCCAGUCAACGGGUCAGCAUCAGUUUCGACCGUGGGAGAAAGACUUGGGGAAUGUGGCUCUUUGGAGUGUUAUAGCCUCUUGUUGUAUGUCUCGGUUGGGACUGAGGAUUGCAGCGCGCCUUACGGCCGGGGUUCGCGCCCUCGGUACGCGCUUAGGAUGCUGGCAUAAUGGCUUUAAGCGACCCGUCUUGAAA